Molecule: ribosomal RNA, 279 nt
Filed under: uncultured bacterium
Lineage: Bacteria
Description: partial 16S ribosomal RNA
Rfam family: Bacterial small subunit ribosomal RNA
Source: RNAcentral
UGCCAGCCGCCGCGGUAAUACGGAGGGGGUUAGCGUUAUCCGGAAUCACUGGGUUUAAAGGGUGCGUAGGCGGCGUUAUAAGUCAGAGGUGAAAUCCCACCGCUUAACGGUGGAACUGCCUUUGAUACUGUAAUGCUUGAAUUAGGUUGAGGUCGGCGGAAUGUGACAUGUAGCGGUGAAAUGCAUAGAUAUGUCAUAGAACACCAAUUGCGAAGGCAGCUGGCUAGACCUAUAUUGACGCUGAGGCACGAAAGCGUGGGGAGCGAACAGGAUUAGAUA